This 225-nucleotide ribosomal RNA is filed under the name uncultured Clostridium sp. Its description in RNAcentral is "partial 16S ribosomal RNA". It matches the Rfam family "Bacterial small subunit ribosomal RNA", at positions 568 to 792 of the family's 1533-position model. The record is from RNAcentral. Lineage: Bacteria; Bacillati; Bacillota; Clostridia; Eubacteriales; Clostridiaceae.
AGCGUAGGUGGAUAUUUAAGUGGGAUGUGAAAUACUCGGGCUUAACCUGGGUGCUGCAUUCCAAACUGGAUAUCUAGAGUGCAGGAGAGGAAAGUAGAAUUCCUAGUGUAGCGGUGAAAUGCGUAGAGAUUAGGAAGAAUACCAGUGGCGAAGGCGACUUUCUGGACUGUAACUGACACUGAGGCUCGAAAGCGUGGGGAGCAAACAGGAUUAGAUACCCCCGUA